UAGAGUUUGAUCAUGGCUCAGGAUGAACGCUGGCGGCGUGCCUAAUACAUGCAAGUCGAACGAAGAUCUAGCUUGCUAGAUCUUAGUGGCGAACGGGUGAGUAAUACAUAAAUUAUCUGCCCAUUGGACUGGGAUAACUAUUGGAAACGAUAGCUAAUACCGGAUAGGUGAUUUGAAGGCAUCUUCGAAUCAUUAAAGUAGGGUCACUACACCAAUGGAUGAGUUUAUGGCGCAUUAGUUAGUUGGCGGGGUAACGGCCCACCAAGACGAUGAUGCGUAGCCGACCUGAGAGGGUGACCGGCCACACUGGGACUGAGACACGGCCCAGACUCCUACGGGAGGCAGCAGUAGGGAAUUUUCGGCAAUGGGCGCAAGCCUGACCGAGCAACGCCGCCUGAGUGAUUAAGGCCUUCCGGUUGUAAAGCUCUGUUGUUAGGGAAGAACAUUCCGAUAUGUAAUGU
Molecule: ribosomal RNA, 461 nt
Filed under: uncultured bacterium
Lineage: Bacteria
Description: bacterial SSU rRNA
Rfam family: Bacterial small subunit ribosomal RNA
Source: RNAcentral